UCGAGGAUCUUCGGCAAUGGGCGCAAGCCUGACCGAGCGACGCCGCGUGCGCGAUGAAGGCCUUCGGGUUGUAAAGCGCUGUCGAGGGGGAGGAAAGCCCGCAAGGGCCUGACCUAUCCCUGGAGGAAGCACGGGCUAAGUUCGUGCCAGCAGCCGCGGUAAGACGAACCGUGCAAACGUUGUUCGGAAUCACUGGGCUUAAAGGGCGCGUAGGCGGGUUCCCAAGUCGGUGGUGAAAUCUUUCGGCUCAACCGGAAAACAGCCGCCGAUACUGGGAGUCUCGAGGGAGGUAGGGGCCGAUGGAACUUCCGGUGGAGCGGUGAAAUGCGUAGAUAUCGGAAGGAACGCCGGUGGCGAAAGCGAUCGGCUGGACCUCUUCUGACGCUGAGGCGCGAAAGCCAGGGGAGCAAACGG
Molecule: ribosomal RNA, 414 nt
Filed under: uncultured bacterium
Lineage: Bacteria
Description: bacterial SSU rRNA
Rfam family: Bacterial small subunit ribosomal RNA
Source: RNAcentral